AUUGAACGCUGGCGGCAGGCCUAACACAUGCAAGUCGAGCGCGAAAGUUCUUCGGAAUGAGUAAAGCGGCGGACGGGUGAGUAAUACAUGGGAAUCUGCCUGGUAGUGGGGGACAACGUUUCGAAAGGAACGCUAAUACCGCAUACGCCCUACGGGGAAAGGGGGGGAGUCUUCGGACCUCUCGCUAUCAGAUGAGCCCA
Molecule: ribosomal RNA, 200 nt
Filed under: uncultured bacterium
Lineage: Bacteria
Description: partial 16S ribosomal RNA
Rfam family: Bacterial small subunit ribosomal RNA
Source: RNAcentral